This 1156-nucleotide ribosomal RNA is filed under the name uncultured Flavobacteriaceae bacterium. RNAcentral describes it as "bacterial SSU rRNA". It matches the Rfam family "Bacterial small subunit ribosomal RNA", at positions 373 to 1533 of the family's 1533-position model. Lineage: Bacteria; Pseudomonadati; Bacteroidota; Flavobacteriia; Flavobacteriales; Flavobacteriaceae. The record is from RNAcentral.
GGAGGCAACUCUGAUCCAGCCAUGCCGCGUGAAGGAAGACGGCCUUAUGGGUUGUAAACUUCUUUUAUACAGGAAGAAACCUUUCCACGUGUGGAAAGUUGACGGUACUGUAAGAAUAAGGAUCGGCUAACUCCGUGCCAGCAGCCGCGGUAAUACGGAGGAUCCAAGCGUUAUCCGGAAUUAUUGGGUUUAAAGGGUCCGCAGGCUGUUUGUUAAGUCAGAGGUGAAAUCCUACCGCUCAACGGUAGAACUGCCUUUGAUACUGGCAAACUUGAGUUAUUGUGAAGUAGUUAGAAUGUGUAGUGUAGCGGUGAAAUGCAUAGAUAUUACACAGAAUACCGAUUGCGAAAGCAGAUUACUAACAAUAUACUGACGCUGAGGGACGAAAGCGUGGGUAGCGAACAGGAUUAGAUACCCUGGUAGUCCACGCCGUAAACGAUGGUCACUAGCUGUUCGAUGUACAUUGGUACGUUGAGUGGCUAAGCGAAAGUGAUAAGUGACCCACCUGGGGAGUACGCUCGCAAGAGUGAAACUCAAAGGAAUUGACGGGGGCCCGCACAAGCGGUGGAGCAUGUGGUUUAAUUCGAUGAUACGCGAGGAACCUUACCAGGACUUAAAUGUAAGUUGCAUGAUUCAGAAAUGAAUCUUUCUUCGGACUACUUACAAGGUGCUGCAUGGUUGUCGUCAGCUCGUGCCGUGAGGUGUCAGGUUAAGUCCUAUAACGAGCGCAACCCCUAUCGUUAGUUGCCAUCAAGUAAAGUUGGGAACUCUAGCGAAACUGCCGGUGCAAACCGAGAGGAAGGUGGGGAUGACGUCAAAUCAUCACGGCCCUUACGUUCUGGGCUACACACGUGCUACAAUGGUCGGUACAGAAAGCAGCCACUAUGCAAAUAGGAGCUAAUCUUUAAAACCGAUCUCAGUUCGGAUCGCAGUCUGCAACUCGACUGCGUGAAGCUGGAAUCGCUAGUAAUCGGAUAUCAGCCAUGAUCCGGUGAAUACGUUCCCGGGCCUUGUACACACCGCCCGUCAAGCCAUGGAAGCUGGGGGUACCUAAAGUCGGUGACCGAAAGGAGCUGCCUAGGGUAAAACUAGUGACUGGGGCUAAGUCGUAACAAGGUAGCCGUACCGGAAGGUGCGGCUGGAAUACCUCCUUUCU